AAACGAGGAGAAGGAACAAGGAACAAGAAGAAGGAACAAGAAGCGGGCUGUCCACUGAAAGAAGGAUCGCUGCUUUCUUAUCGUGAUGCGCAAAGCUUUCUGAUCUCUCAAAGCUCCCAAACCACUUUGAGUAAAGACAUUUGAGGUCUCGUUAAAGCGAUGUAGGUACAUGUGUUCAUUUUGGAUGGAAACGGCUUGAUUGGUGUUUAAGAGUCAGACUGAUAGCUGCAACUCUUCAUUUAUUCCUUUGACAAUGACUUGGUAGGUUUGAACGUUAGCCACUCUCCUUCUCCUGGCGGGGAGGUUGGGGGAUCCAGUUCUGCGAGGCGUCGCAUGAGCAUUCUUCUUCGUCGCGUGAUCCUUCUUAUUUGUCGGAUGAUCCUUCUUCUUCUUCGUCGGAUGAUCCUUCUUCUUCUUCUUCUGCGGCGAGCCACUCUCCUUCUCCUGGCGGAGAGUGGGAGGUCGGGGGAUCCAUCUCUGCAAGGCAUCGUUGAUAAACAAUUCCGGUCCAUAAUGACAGAGUAACAGAGACACAGUGGAAUCAUAAAGUAACCAUGACGACCUCCGGUCCAUAAUGAUGUCACUGAUGAUGUCUUUAACCGUCACAUCAUGAUGAAGAUGUCACUAACUAAAGCGUCACGCUGACAUCAUAAUUAUGAUGGCACUAACAGAGACACAGUGGAAUCAUAAAGUAACCAUGACGACCUCCGGUGACGGUAUUGGCUGCCGUGCUAAACAGUCUAGCCUCAGCGCUAGCCUGCUAGUCUGCUAGCCUGCUAGUCUGCUAGCCUGCUAGCCUGCUAGCUGGCUGCAAACUGUGGAAUGGAUUCCUGAACGGAGGCGCGGCUCAAUGAGACAGUUAUGAGACACGCUCAGGAAAUCCAUGGGACAUCCAAGGGAGCCAACGGAACGCAGCACGAGGGGGGAGGUG
Long non-coding RNA from Gasterosteus aculeatus aculeatus (three-spined stickleback), 931 nucleotides. Lineage: Eukaryota; Metazoa; Chordata; Actinopteri; Perciformes; Gasterosteidae. The record is from Ensembl.